This 301-nucleotide ribosomal RNA is filed under the name uncultured bacterium. Its description in RNAcentral is "partial 16S ribosomal RNA". It matches the Rfam family "Bacterial small subunit ribosomal RNA", at positions 509 to 807 of the family's 1533-position model. The record is from RNAcentral.
CAGUAGCCACGGGAAUACGGAGGGAGCUAGCGUUGUUCGGAAUUACUGGGCGUAAAGCGCACGUAGGCGGUUAUUCAAGUCAGAGGUGAAAGCCCGGGGCUCAACCCCGGAACUGUCUUUGAAACUAGAUGACUGGAAUCUUGGAGAGGUCAGUGGAAUUCCGAGUGUAGAGGUGAAAUUCGUAGAUAUUCGGAAGAACACCAGUGGCGAAGGCGACUGACUGGACAAGUAUUGACGCUGAGGUGCGAAAGCGUGGGGAGCAAACAGGAUUAGAUACCCCUGUAGUCCCUGUCUCUUAUAC